UAAGAAUAUUCCGCAAUGGACGAAAGUCUGACGGAGCGACGCCGCGUGGAUGACGAAGGCCGAAAGGUUGUAAAAUCCUUUUGCUGAGGAAGAAUAAGCGUGGGAGGGAAUGCCCGCGUGAUGACAUUAGUCGGCGAAUAAGCCCCGGCUAACUACGUGCCAGCAGCCGCGGUAACACGUAGGGGGCAAGCGUUGUUCGGAAUUACUGGGCGUAAAGAGCAUGUAGGCGGCUUAGUAAGCCUGACGUGAAAGUCUAUGGCUCAACCAUGGGAUUGCGUUGGGAACUGCGUAGCUAGAAUCAUGGAGAGGGAGAUAGAAUUCCAGGUGUAGGGGUGAAAUCUGUAGAGAUCUGGAAGAAUACCGGUGGCGAAGGCGAUCUCCUGGCCAAUGAUUGACGCUGAGGUGCGAAAGUGUGGGGAUCAAAC
RNAcentral lists this ribosomal RNA (425 nucleotides) under uncultured bacterium. Its description in RNAcentral is "bacterial SSU rRNA". It matches the Rfam family "Bacterial small subunit ribosomal RNA", at positions 356 to 773 of the family's 1533-position model. The record is from RNAcentral.